This is a long non-coding RNA of Equus caballus (horse), 4668 nucleotides long. NCBI's taxonomy places the organism in Eukaryota, Metazoa, Chordata, Mammalia, Perissodactyla, Equidae. The record is from Ensembl.
UUUUCAUGAUCAUAAUACGCUGAGCAUCACACAGAAUCAGGCCAUCCCAGCACCAGCACACAUCUCAACAUGGUGCUCAAACGCCCACAGGUGUGUGGUCAUCCCAGGGCAGCCUCAGCCCUUCCCCGACUCGGCCAGAGAAAGCUCUGCCCACCUGCUCCCGGGCCACAGGAAGUGACAUCACAGUCACUGCUGGAGCCGCGGAACACGCUGGGCGCAUGCAGACGCUGCUCUUUGUCACAGAUACAGCCAACCAUCCCAGGGGGGGACAUCUCUACCUCUGCCGUCCCAGCACCCUCUUCAACCUCCUCCACGCGAGACCCCGAGUUCCACCCCCACAAACAGGCCUCAUUAGACCCCAUCUUGUGAACAGGACACGCACAUACGUGUUGAACGGACGAAUUCCACAUCAGUUAGCUGCCUGUUCGCUGAACGUCUUUCCUGGACUCCAGGAUUGAAGGAAUUAGGACAAUGAAGAGCCACAAAGCAGGAGGAAACCAUCAUGCAGGCUCCACUCAAAGAGAACAAGGCUCAAAGAGAACACCAACUUCCUUGCAUAGGCUUCCUCUAGAAACAAAACUAUUGUGGGACAAUGAGGGAAGUGCUCCCCAUGCGGAGAACCUUUCUAUAGGUCUCCCUGGAGAUGUUCUGGGGCCUGGUACCCAGCGAGGCCGCCUGCAGCCACGUGGCCACUGGCCCUCUCCAUCUUUCACAAGGCAGGAGGGAUGGGAAGUGCUGGCAGGUGUUGGCAUCCUGCAGAUGCUGGUUAUCUUCCAGACCAGCUUCUCAGGUAUUCUCUCUUUCCAUCCUGACAAUGACCCUGUGAAGUGGGAACGGUUACGCUGGUUUACAAAUGAGGACACGAAACCUCGCAAAGCUCCUUUUUCUUCCCUGAGGUCACCUGGCUAGUGAGGGUCGCAGAUGGGGAUUCAACCCAAAGACCAGGUCACAGAAAAGUGCAUCCUUCUUCCUUCUGGACCGACUUGCACGAAAGUUACUUCACCCAGUUGUUGACCUGGCCGAGGAGGGACAGGCGCUGUCAGACCCCAGGAGGAAUGUUAGGUGCCCUCUGGUGCCCAUAUCCCUGUGAAGACCCGGCCAGUUUCCAGGCUGGGGAGUGGACAGGGGGACACAGUGCUCUGUGGGUCAAGGGCACCGUGUGGAGAGAGGAACACGAGAGGGGGAUUGGGGCAACCGUGUUCCUCCCACAAAUGGGCAACUGAGUCACAUCAUAGGAACUCUGUUCCCUGCCAAACAGGUCUCUCUCUCUCUCUCUCUUUUUUCUGUUUCUGUGUAUUUUAAAUGCAUUUAAAUGAAGCGAUUAUUUAACGAUUUUUGUGGGUUUCCUGGUAUUUGUUUUGGGAUUUGUUUUUGUUUUGUUUUGUUUUUUAUUUUGUUUUUUGGUUGACAGUGUUGAAUCAUCGAAAUAUCGUAAAGCAUUUUUCUGGCUCACUAAUUGAUACAGUCCUGCCUAAUUGCCUGCUGCUUCGUUUCUUCUCUGUGAAAAUGACACAGGUUUUCUGGGUUUUUGCUUCCAAAAAACAAACGGUGCUGCUUCACUACCCCGCCCCCAAUCUGUGCCUCCCUUGGGAUGGCGGCACACACCACAGAUUCCGCAGAUCACUGGUCCUGGCAGGGGUGGGAGGAGCUGGGCAGGAUGGGGAAGGGAGGAGCCACAGGGGUGCCAAGAGAGACCCCACAUUCCCGAGGCCCCCUCCCUAGCACCCCUGCCUGCAAACACCUGACAAUCUACCAACAGCCUCAGCAGGUGUAUGCCCUGAGUUACCAAGGAUUUCUGAAGCUGGUGGAAGCUCGGAGGCCCUGUCUGUGGCCAUGGAGACCCCAUAGAGCCCCUGCCUGUAGCCCUAUUUCUCCAGCAAGAGACUGCAGCCUUAACCAGCUGGCCUCGCCCAUCCACAGAACUGUGCUCCACGGGCACCUGCAGCAGCCGCACACAGGGAGCGGGGAGCAGGCUGGUCUCAGCCUCUGUCUGCCUGGAGGGACCCCGAGCCCAUCCAGUCUGGCCCUGCCGCUUCCAGGGUUACCCAGGUCCCAGGAUGGGAAAUCAAAGCCCAGCCGUGCUUGACAACAUUAGGACCUCAAAGCAGAGAAAAACAAACAGAACCUCUCCAAAACCAGAGGCUGGUCCAGAGCCAACAUUAUGAUCCUGGUCUCCUGUAUUACAAAAGGGAAAUACUAAGGCCCUAAUGAGAGGAAAGUGGAGUCCGAGGUCCCAGUGUGAGUCAACAGCAGAGCAGAGACCAGACCCAGGAACCACACUGCUAGGCCGGUGCUAUGAAAAAUCCAGACUCAGGCAAAAGAAAGCUCAACAUCCUGAUGUCCCUCUGUAGACGGGAGACGCCUGUGGAAAGGGAGAGGGUCAGCUGACACACCCUCAACAUCCUGAUGUCGCUCUAUAGACAGGAGACGCCUGUGGAAAUGGAGAGGGUCAGCUGGUAGACCUGGUUUGUCAAGAGUACUUGUGAAAAGGGUCGGGGUCUUGGUUGACUGGAAGGGUCUGAGUCCACCCUGUGAUUUACCUGCUACAAAGUCACUCAACAAAUGUGGCAGCCAAGGGUUCACCCACUAGCUAAUGUGACACAUGUAUGUCACACGUGUGUGUCACACACACACACACACACUUGUACAUUUAGCUUAAUACACUUUUUUUUUAAAGACUUUAUUUUUUCCUUUUUCUCCCCAACACCCCCCAGUACAUAGUUGUAUAUUCUUCGUUGUGGGUCCUUCUAGUUGUGGCAUGUGGGAUGCUGCCCCAGCGUGGUUUGAUGAGCAGUGCCAUGUCCGCGCCCAGGAUUCCAACCAACGAAACACUGGGCCGCCUGCAGCGGAGCGCACGAAUUUAACCACUCGGCCACGGGGCCAGCCCCAGGCUUAAUAAAUUUUGAUGCCAGAGUAAGGGAGAUGUCCGUCCUUCCUGACCAGACCCCAUGCAGUGAGUUGUAUUCACUUUAAGAGGAAAGCUGACAAACUAGAGCAUUCUCCAAGAAAAGCACCCAAGAAGUCAAGCUAACUCAAAAUAACAAUGUGAGGAGCUGUGUUUCAAAGCCCAGGAGAAGCUUAGUUUACAGAAGAGAAGACUCAACGCAUACUGCAUCUGACCCCAAAUUGCUGAAAAAUAAUGUGAAAAGGAGAAUAGAAUCAUUAUGGGUCAUUUUAGGGAGCAAAGCUGGGUCUGAACCCAGACACCAGCAAGUCCACCCGUCAUCCUCCAUCCCCUGAGACCCACUCUGAGAAGGCACCCUCCUUCCAUCACUCUAGUCCCAGAGUUUUCCAAAACUCAGAUCUGACCAGACAGCACCCCUUCGGUGGGUCUGAGAAACUGUCACAGCCAAGGGGAGCCUAAGGCUACACGACAACUAAAUGUAAUAUGGCAUCUCCGAUGGGACCCUGCAACAGAAAAACAACGUUAGGUAAAAACUCAGGGAGCCUGAAUAAAGUAUGGACUUUAGUUAAUAACAGUGUAUCAACAUGGGUGCAUUCAUUGUGACAUACAUACCGUACUGGUGUAAGAUGUUAAUAAUAGGGGAAACUGGGUGUGGGGUACACAGGAAUUCUCUGUUCUAUCUUGGCAAUUUUUCUGUAAAUCUAAAAACUAUUUUAAAAUAAAAAGUUAUUACAUUAAAAAGAAUCUAAUGGGGGCCCGGCCUGGUGGCACAGCAGUUAAGUUCGCACGUUCUGCUUCAGCGGCCCAGGGUUCACCAGUUCAGAUCCCAGGUGCAGACAUGGCACCGUUUGGCACGCCAUGCUGUGGUGGGUGUCCCACAUAUAAAGUAGAGGAAGAUGGGCACAGAUGUUAGCUCAGGGCCAGUCUUCCUCAGCAAAAAGAGGGGGAUUGGCAGCAGAUGUUAGCUCAGGGCUAAUCUUCCUCAGAAAAAAAAGAGAAUUAAUUAAAAACGAAAAAGAAUCUAAUGGAAGAAAAAAAGUCUUUGGGGGUUGCCUAACACUUCUAAAUCCAAGCCCCUUAUCUUGAAACCGCAGCCCUUGGUGAUCAGGCCUUCCUGGGGAGACAGAACCCAGUGACCAGGGCAGCAAGAAUGGAGACACAUGGGAAUCCCACUUCCUUUCACUUACCCGGGCGACAGAACAGAAUUUCUGGUGGAACCCUAUUCUGAGAAAUGGCUCAGGCUUGGGAACGGCCAUGGUUUUGAUGGGCAAAAUAUUCUCCAAGCCUUCCCAAAAGGAGCCUUGGCAUGCCUUGGGGACAUGUAGUCACAGAUGGAGGGAGCCUUGCUGCUCUGCUCCCUAAGCUUGAGACCUAGGGAGGCACAGCAGCCCAGGCAGGAGCCCCAACAUUGGCCUAAUAGGGGGCCCCCCGCCAACAAGAGCAUCGAGAUAUGGUUACUCGUGGUUGAGUCAGAUGUUAAUGGCCCACCUGGAUCAGACGCUGUUCCCCACCGCUGUAGCCACAGAUCAUUCUCAGAUGUCACCCUCAAUCCGUGGACUUGACCAAGCACAGGACAACGGCCCCAUGGGUCCUUGCCCGAGCUUUCUCCUCUCAGGUCAAGUUCCCAGACUUCAGUCCAAACUGACUCAAAGAUUGCCACAAUUUUAUAAGGGAGGGCUAGAAUGGAAUAGACGACUUCUGAGAACAUUUCCAGCUUUAAAAACUUCUCUGAAUUUCUCCAAAAGUCUGCACAGCUGGACUCG